Molecule: ribosomal RNA, 426 nt
Filed under: uncultured bacterium
Lineage: Bacteria
Description: partial 16S ribosomal RNA
Rfam family: Bacterial small subunit ribosomal RNA
Source: RNAcentral
GUGAGGAAUUUUCCGCAAUGGGCGAAAGCCUGACGGAGCAAUGCCGCGUGAAGGAUGAAGGCCUAUGGGUUGUAAACUUCUUUUCUCAGAAAAGAAUUAUGACGGUAUCUGAGGAAUAAGCAUCGGCUAACUCUGUGCCAGCAGCCGCGGUAAGACAGAGGAUGCAAGCGUUAUCCGGAAUGAUUGGGCGUAAAGCGUCUGUAGGUUGUUUAAAAAGUAUUCUGUCAAAGAUUAGGGCUUAACCCUAGAUAGGCAGAAUAAACUUUUAAGCUAGAGUUUGGUAGAGGCAGAGGGAAUUCCCGGUGGAGCGGUGAAAUGCGUAGAUAUCGGGAGGAACACCAAAGGCGAAGGCACUCUGCUGGGCCAAUACUAACACUGAGAGACAAAAGCGAGGGGAGCAAAUGGGAUUAGAUACCCGGGUAGUCC